This 93-nucleotide transfer RNA is filed under the name Parahaemophilus parainfluenzae. RNAcentral describes it as "Haemophilus parainfluenzae (human oral metagenome) tRNA-Ser". It matches the Rfam family "tRNA". From Rfam's summary of the family: Transfer RNA (tRNA) molecules are approximately 80 nucleotides in length. Their secondary structure includes four short double-helical elements and three loops (D, anti-codon, and T loops). RNAcentral also lists the same sequence under 13 other names. The record is from RNAcentral. Lineage: Bacteria; Pseudomonadati; Pseudomonadota; Gammaproteobacteria; Pasteurellales; Pasteurellaceae.
GGAGGAGUACCCAAGUGGCUGAAGGGGACGGUUUGCUAAAUCGUUAGUAUGGAGAGAUCUGUAGCGGGGGUUCGAAUCCCCCCUCCUCCGCCA